AGAGUUUGAUCCUGGCUCAGGACGAACUUUGGCGGCGUGCUUAACACAUGCAAGUCGAACGGAAAGGCCCUUCGGGGUACUCGAGUGGCGAACGGGUGAGUAACACGUGGGUGAUCUGCCCUGCACUCUGGGAUAAGCCUGGGAAACUGGGUCUAAUACCGGAUAGGACCGCAUGCUUCAUGGUGUGUGGUGCAAAGCUUUUGCGGUGUGGGAUGAGCCCGCGGCCUAUCAGCUUGUUGGUGGGGUAAUGGCCUACCAAGGCGACGACGGGUAGCCGGCCUGAGAGGGUGACCGGCCACACUGGGACUGAGAUACGGCCCAGACUCCUACGGGAGGCAGCAGUGGGGAAUAUUGCACAAUGGGCGCAAGCCCGAUGCAGCGACGCCGCGUGAGGGAUGACGGCCUUCGGGUUGUAAACCUCUUUCAGUAGGGACGAAGCGAAAGUGACGGUACCUACAGAAGAAGGACCGGCCAACUACGUGCCAGCAGCCGCGGUAAUACGUAGGGUCCGAGCGUUGUCCGGAAUUACUGGGCGUAAAGAGCUCGUAGGUGGUUUGUCGCGUUGUUCGUGAAAACUCACAGCUUAACUGUGGGCGUGCGGGCGAUACGGGCAGACUAGAGUACUGCAGGGGAGACUGGAAUUCCUGGUGUAGCGGUGGAACGCGCAGAUAUCAGGAGGAACACCGGUGGCGAAGGCGGGUCUCUGGGCAGUAACUGACGCUGAGGAGCGAAAGCGUGGGUAGCGAACAGGAUUAGAUCCCCUGGUAGUCCACGCCGUAAAUGGCCCUUAUGGGUGUGGGUUUCCUUCCUUGGGAUCCGUGCCGUAGCUAACGCAUUAAGUACCCCGCCUGGGGAGUACGGUCGCAAGACUAAAACUCAAAGGAAUUGACGGGGGCCCGCACAAGCGGCGGAGCAUGUGGAUUAAUUCGAUGCAACGCGAAGAACCUUACCUGGGUUUGACAUGCACAGGACGUAUCUAGAGAUAGGUAUUCCCUUGUGGCCUGUGUGCAGGUGGUGCAUGGCUGUCGUCAGCUCGUGUCGUGAGAUGUUGGGUUAAGUCCCGCAACGAGCGCAACCCUUGUCCUAUGUUGCCAGCGGGUAAUGCCGGGGACUCGUAGGAGACUGCCGGGGUCAACUCGGAGGAAGGUGGGGAUGACGUCAAGUCAUCAUGCCCCUUAUGUCCAGGGCUUCACACAUGCUACAAUGGCCAGUACAGAGGGCUGCGAAGCCGUAAGGUGGAGCGAAUCCCUUAAAGCUGGUCUCAGUUCGGAUUGGGGUCUGCAACUCGACCCCAUGAAGUCGGAGUCGCUAGUAAUCGCAGAUCAGCAACGCUGCGGUGAAUACGUUCCCGGGCCUUGCACUCACCGCCCGUCA
This 1374-nucleotide ribosomal RNA is filed under the name uncultured bacterium. Its description in RNAcentral is "16S ribosomal RNA". It matches the Rfam family "Bacterial small subunit ribosomal RNA". The record is from RNAcentral.